This 388-nucleotide ribosomal RNA is filed under the name uncultured prokaryote. RNAcentral describes it as "partial 16S ribosomal RNA". The record is from RNAcentral.
CCCUAUGGGGGCAUCGGUUUCUGCUUUGGCUGCCCAUGCCCGCUUUGCUUCCCAUCGUCUUUGUCGCCUUCGCAAGCCUUGGCUUUCUCCUCGGACACGUCGUCCCUCUCUCCAUUGACAGUUACACCCACAAACAGUCCAACUUGUUGGCCUGGUCCUGGGCGAUUACGGUCACGGGCUCUGUAUUCGGGACGGUCAUCGCCUCCAUUCUUGCCCGAGACUAUGGCAUGUUCCUGGUUGCAGUCCUUGGAAUCCUUUCUUAUUUUCUUGUUGCAGCUGUGAGCCUGGCGGGUAUGGCAAUUGCGCGGGUGAUAUCCGGAGCGUCGGGGAUGAAUUCGGAGUAACUGUGCCCACAGGGGUUGUCAGAAGGGAGAAUUGGCGGGAGGGC